RNAcentral lists this unclassified non-coding RNA (456 nucleotides) under Zea mays. RNAcentral describes it as "misc RNA Zm00001eb229220". Lineage: Eukaryota; Viridiplantae; Streptophyta; Magnoliopsida; Poales; Poaceae. The record is from RNAcentral.
CUGGGCACGGGCGUUUCUGUCGCGGGCUUCGGGCGAGGUCGCGGCUACUGCGCAGCGCGGGUCGGGGCGUGGGCGCGGGGCGGUCGGUCGGGUCGGGCUCGGCGCGCAGGUUCCUGGCACGGGCGUGUCGAGGCCUUGGGCGGGUGGCUCGGUAGGGGCGACGCGGCUGGGGCGCUGUCGGCCUGGUCGAGCUCGGACGCUGCAGGGCGCUCGACCGCGGGGUCGCGCGGUCGCUUGGCUCCUGUCGCGGCGAGCGCUGGGAGAGAGCAAGGGAGGAGAGAGAGGAAUGAGUGGAGGACGCGGGGAGGCUGCAGGGGCUUCGGCACGCGGGGUACAGGGCUGGAGUCCUCGGCGAUUUCCUUGGCGGCGCGUGGGAAAGGGAGCAGAGAGGAGGAGGAGAGGUGGGGAUGGAGAGAGAAGAGGGAGGGAGAGAAAUCAGGGAACGGCGGCGCCUAG